GAUGAACGCUGGCGGCGUGCCUAAUACAUGCAAGUCGAGCGAACGGACGAGAAGCUUGCUUUUCUGAUGUUAGCGGCGGACGGGUGAGUAACACGUGGAUAACCUACCUAUAAGACUGGGAUAACUUCGGGAAACCGGAGCUAAUACCGGAUAAUAUUUUGAACCGCAUGGUUCAAAAGUGAAAGACGGUCUUGCUGUCACUUAUAGAUGGAUCCGCGCUGCAUUAGCUAGUUGGUAAGGUAACGGCUUAACAAGGCAACGAUGCAUAGCCGCCCUGAGAGGGUGAUCGGCCACACGGGAACUGAGACACGGUCCAGACUCCUACGGGAGGCAGCAGUAGGGAAUCUUCCGCGAUGGGCGAGAGCGUGACGGAGCAACGCCGCGUGAGUGAUGAAGGUCUUCGGAUCGUAAAACUCUGUUAUUAGGGAAGAACAUAUGUGUAAGUAACUGUGCACAUCUUGACGGUACCUAAUCAGAAAGCCACGGCUAACUACGUG
This 497-nucleotide ribosomal RNA is filed under the name uncultured bacterium. RNAcentral describes it as "partial 16S ribosomal RNA". It matches the Rfam family "Bacterial small subunit ribosomal RNA", at positions 28 to 507 of the family's 1533-position model. The record is from RNAcentral.